RNAcentral lists this ribosomal RNA (355 nucleotides) under uncultured bacterium. RNAcentral describes it as "bacterial SSU rRNA". It matches the Rfam family "Bacterial small subunit ribosomal RNA", at positions 527 to 881 of the family's 1533-position model. The record is from RNAcentral.
GUAGGGGGCAAGCGUUAUCCGGANUUACNGGGUGUAAAGGGAGCGUAGACGGUGUGGCAAGUCUGAUGUGAAAGGCAUGGGCUCAACCUGUGGACUGCAUNGGAAACUGUCAUACUUGAGUGCCGGAGGGGUAAGCGGAAUUCCUAGUGUGGCGGUGAAAUGCGUAGAUAUUAGGAGGAACACCAGUGGCGAAGGCGGCUUACUGGACGGUAACUGACGUUGAGGCUCGAAAGCGUGGGGAGCAAACAGGAUUAGAUACCCUGGUAGUCCGCGCCGUAAACGAUGAAUACUAGGUGUCGGGUGGCAGAGCCAUUCGGUGCCGUCGCAAACGCAGUAAGUAUUCCACCUGGGGAGU